This 253-nucleotide ribosomal RNA is filed under the name uncultured bacterium. RNAcentral's name for it is "partial 16S ribosomal RNA". It matches the Rfam family "Bacterial small subunit ribosomal RNA", at positions 524 to 776 of the family's 1533-position model. The record is from RNAcentral.
UACGGAGGGUGCAAGCGUUGUCCGGAUUUAUUGGGUUUAAAGGGUGCGUAGGCGGUUUUUUAAGUCAGUGGUGAAAGCCUCCAGCUUAACUGGAGAAAUGCCAUUGAUACUGGGAGACUUGAGUACAGACGAGGUAGGCGGAAUUGACAGUGUAGCGGUGAAAUGCAUAGAUAUUGUCAAGAACACCGAUUGCGAAGGCAGCUUACUAGACUGUAACUGACGCUGAGGCACGAAAGUGUGGGGAUCAAACAGG